This 116-nucleotide ribosomal RNA is filed under the name Orcinus orca (killer whale). RNAcentral describes it as "partial 12S ribosomal RNA". Lineage: Eukaryota; Metazoa; Chordata; Mammalia; Artiodactyla; Delphinidae. The record is from RNAcentral.
GUCACCCUCCCCAAGUACCACAGCAAAGCCCCAGAUCGCUAACCCAUGCUAAGCAGGCGUACAAGAGGAGACAAGUCGUAACAAGGUAAGCAUACCGGAAGGUGUGCUUGGAUAAA